Molecule: long non-coding RNA, 280 nt
Filed under: Ananas comosus (pineapple)
Lineage: Eukaryota; Viridiplantae; Streptophyta; Magnoliopsida; Poales; Bromeliaceae
Description: long non-coding RNA (ACOM_LNC013389)
Source: RNAcentral
CUAUUUUAAUUCCCAUCAACUAAUAAGGCUUAGCUUGGUAUUGAGAUCUAUCUAACGCUAUUAGAUAAGAUGAAGUUGAGAAAAAAGUAUAUGUAGAUAUGCUUCUGCGUUCUCCGAUAGGAUCGUAAAAAAUAUAUCAUAAGUGAUUAAUCGUGAUAUGCGAAACGCAAUAUUACGUAUAGAAACAAACAGGUUAUUUUUUCAUCGUCGACGUUUCUCACUGCACGAACGUAAUUUUCUCGUAAUUCCAAACGAAGCCUUAAAGUUGCAGCUUAAUUUC